RNAcentral lists this long non-coding RNA (1068 nucleotides) under Taeniopygia guttata (zebra finch). Its description in RNAcentral is "lncRNA (ENSTGUG00000019389.1)". Lineage: Eukaryota; Metazoa; Chordata; Aves; Passeriformes; Estrildidae. The record is from RNAcentral.
CCUGAUAAAAACCCAGCGGCUGAGGUGCCUCAGACACUGAGAGCAGCUGGUUUGUCACCUCCCUGUGCCCCUCUGUCACUCCAGGCUGGUGACAGGCCGCAGCCCCGUGCGCCGGGACGCAGCCUGGAGCGAGCACAGGGAUUUUCCACAGCACUGGGGCCGGGGAAGCAGCGGGGUCUGAGCCCGGGGGUGCCCCAGGACCGGGCAGAGAGGGAGCGGGGUGGAACGGGGGGACAGCGGGGGACAGCGGGCUCAGGGUCGGGAAGCGCAGCCCGGGACGGACCCCUCGGGCCGGGAACGCUGCGCGGGCUCAGGGCGCCCCUCACCGUCCGCAGCGCACCGCGCAAAACCGCGCAAAACCGCGCAUCCCGGGACAGACACAGAACGGGACAGAGCGGGACAGAACGGGACAGAGCGGGACAGAGCGGGACAGCGUCGCGCAUCCCGGGACAGAGCGGAACCCGGGAUAGAGCGGGACCCGGGACAGAGCGGGACCGGGACAGAGCGAGACCGCACCGCGCAUCCCGGGACAGAGCGAGACCGCACCGCGCAUCCCGGGACAGAGCGGGCCAGACCCGCACCCACCGGCUCCGUGCGGGUCACAGCGCUCCGUUCAUCCCGGGAGAGAGCGGGCCAGACCCGCACCCACCGGCUCCGUGCGGGUCACAGCGCUCCGUUCAUCCCGGGAGAGAGCAGGCCAGACCCGCACCCACCGGUUCCGUGCGGGUCACAGCGCUCCGUUCAUCCCGGGAGAGAGCGGGCCAGACCCGCACCCACCGGCUCCGUGCGGGUCACAGCGCUCCGCUCAUCCCGGGCCAGACCCGCGCCCACCGGCUCCGUGCGGGUCACAGCGCUCCGCGCAUCCCGGAGCGGCGCGGUCGCACCGCGCAUCCCCCUUGGCAGCGCCCGCGGCCAUGCGCGCCCGGCGGCGGCGACGGAGCCGCGGGGCCACGGGGGGCGGCGGCGGCGGAGGAGGAGGAGGAGGAGGCGGAGGAAGGCGCUGAGCAGCAGCAGCAGCCACGCAGCUUUGACGUCGCCGGGCUGCGGCUGCCGGCCCCGCACGUAUAG